UGGGGAAUAUUGCACAAUGGGCGCAAGCCUGAUGCAGCCAUGCCGCGUGUAUGAAGAAGGCCUUCGGGUUGUAAAGUACUUUCAGCGGGGAGGAAGGGAGUAAAGUUAAUACCUUUGCUCAUUGACGUUACCCGCAGAAGAAGCACCGGCUAACUCCGUGCCAGCAGCCGCGGUAAUACGGAGGGUGCAAGCGUUAAUCGGAAGUACUGGGCGUAAAGCGCACGCAGGCGGUUUGUUAAGUCAGAUGUGAAAUCCCCGGGCUCAACCUGGGAACUGCAUCUGAUACUGGCAAGCUUGAGUCUCGUAGAGGGGGGUAGAAUUCCAGGUGGAGCGGUGGAAUGCGUAGAGAUCUGGAGGAAUACCGGUGGCGAAGGCGGCCCCCUGGACGAAGACUGACGCUCAGGUGCGAAAGCGUGGGGAGCAAACAGG
Molecule: ribosomal RNA, 429 nt
Filed under: Chloroflexota bacterium
Lineage: Bacteria; Bacillati; Chloroflexota
Description: Chloroflexi bacterium partial 16S ribosomal RNA
Rfam family: Bacterial small subunit ribosomal RNA
Source: RNAcentral